UUUUUCUACUUUAUCUAUAUAUAGGAGGAAGGAAAGUUUAUAAGGGAAAAGAUAUGACAUCAGAUUUGACCUAAUUUAUUCCAAUUUGGUGCUCCCCUGUUAUCUAUUGCUGGAAACAAAUAGCGGCUAGGGUUGUCUCUCUUGUUCCAUUCCCAAGCUUUCUUCUGUUUUGCCAAAUCCUUUCACCCUGACUCCCCUUUGCAUCAUGUUCACAAUCUUCUCCACGCUACUUCUGUUUUCGUUUCCAAGCAGAUGGAGAUCGAGGGAAUAAUUAGCCCUGAAUUUGUCAUUCUUUAAGCGUCACUUGUCGUGAAGGUUGAGUGCUUCAUUGAUCUAAUUCAGAUAAAUCACGUUAGGAUUUAUCAAUUAUAGUUCAAGAAAGCGUUCAAAUUCACGGUAAGUGAUUACAGAAGAAUAUGUCAAUCGAAUUACUUACGCCUCUAUCAUAAAAGUUGUCAACAAAGCCAGAUCAUACUGUAUUCAAAGAAGCUAUUGGUUUUGUAAAUGCAAUGAUAUUGAAUCGUCUCGGACCGACAAGGUGCCGGCAGGGGAUUUAAUGUCGGAUCUCGUGUGAAUACCAUAUCGAUAGCCGGAAUGUGAUCGAUCCGGCUUCAGAAGAACCUUAAUCAAAAUAAAGGUUAAUCUUAAUUUGGGAUUGGCCUUCACUGAUUCAUCCGUACAGCAACUAUCCCUAUAUAGACAGGAGAGGAAGAAAGGGAACAAGGGUUAACUUUUCUGAUAGGACUUAUACUUUUGAAUCUCUUUGGUAGAUUUGGCUGAUUUAUCAUGUUUCAAUUAUGUCAAACAUAUUUCUAAACUUUAAAUUUUAGAAAUUGUUCCGAUUUGAGUGAUUUAGUUUACUUGAUUAUAAAUAUUGUAAUAAUUUAAUUUGAUUAUUUCUUUAGUUAUGUUGAUUCUAUUUCAUGAAUAUUUGAGAAGCCACUUACAGAGGUCUGUGAUGAGACUCUGGAUAAGUUUACAAAAGUUGCUUCCUUGCAUAGAUUCAUGAUUUUGAUCUAACUUUCUAAUGUUUCUCCCUUUACAAAAGAGAGAAUGAAUUGUUGUACAGAAACCCUUCAAAUUUUAUUUUGGCGUAGAAGUUACUGUAGAACUAUGUUGUAUUUAUGUAUAAUUCUUUUACACCUGCAAGAAAUCAUGUCAUUAUAUAUUUGUGUAAUAGUACUUAUUAUUGCAUCAUAAUGUAUUUUGAAC
Molecule: small RNA, 1212 nt
Filed under: Vigna angularis var. angularis
Lineage: Eukaryota; Viridiplantae; Streptophyta; Magnoliopsida; Fabales; Fabaceae
Description: Non-protein coding transcript
Source: RNAcentral